Molecule: unclassified non-coding RNA, 343 nt
Filed under: soil metagenome
Description: partial contains 5.8S ribosomal RNA, internal transcribed spacer 2, and large subunit ribosomal RNA
Rfam family: 5.8S ribosomal RNA (bases 1-120)
Source: RNAcentral
GAUGAAGAACGCAGCGAAAUGCGAUAAGUAAUGUGAAUUGCAGAAUUCAGUGAAUCAUCGAAUGUUUGAACGCACAUUGCGCCCGCCAGCAUUCUGGCGGGCAUGCCUGUUCGAGCGUCAUUUCAACCCUCGAGCCCCCCCGGGGGCCUCGGUGUUGGGGGACGGCACACCAGCCGCCCCCGAAAUGCAGUGGCGACCCCGCCGCAGCCUCCCCUGCGUAGUAGCACACACCUCGCACCGGAGCGCGGAGGCGGUCACGCCGUAAAACGCCCAACUUUCUUAGAGUUGACCUCGGAUCAGGUAGGAAUACCCGCUGAACUUAAGCAUAUCAAUAAGCGGAGGA